Molecule: ribosomal RNA, 431 nt
Filed under: uncultured bacterium
Lineage: Bacteria
Description: partial 16S ribosomal RNA
Rfam family: Bacterial small subunit ribosomal RNA
Source: RNAcentral
AACGAACGCUGGCGGCAUGCCUAACACUUGCAAGUCGAACGAGACCUUCGGGUCUAGUGGCGCACGGGUGCGUAACGCGUGGGAACCUGCCCUUAGGUUCGGAAUAACUCCCCGAAAGGGGUGCUAAUACCGGAUAAUGUCUUCGGACCAAAGAUUUAUCGCCUUUGGAUGGGCCCGCGUUGGAUUAGCUAGUUGGUAGGGUAAAAGCCUACCAAGGCGACGAUCCAUAGCUGGUCUGAGAGGAUGAUCAGCCACACUGGGACUGAGACACGGCCCAGACUCCUACGGGAGGCAGCAGUGGGGAAUAUUGGACAAUGGGCGAAAGCCUGAUCCAGCAAUGCCGCGUGAGUGAUGAAGGCCUUAGGGUUGUAAAGCUCUUUUACCCGGGAUGAUAAUGACAGGACCGGGAGAAUAAGCUCCGGCUAACUCCG